CACGUAUUUCCACAUCGCAGUCUACCCACCACACAGACGGUACCUCCGUUUUGUGGUUAACCAUCAACGCUUUCAGUUCACUGUACUUCCGUUUGGCCUUUCUGCAGCUCCGCGUGUCUUCACAAAAUGCAUGGCUGUAGUCGCCGCCUCACUCCGGCGGCGUCGGGUACACAUCUACCUGUAUCUCGAUGAUUGGCUCAUUCGAGGGACUUCCCAGUUGCAAGUAUCACAGCACCUGCACAUCGUUGCAGACCUCUUCGGGAGCCUGGGCCUCAUGAUCAACACAGAAAAGGCUACUCUGACACCCACACAGAGAAUAGACUUUAUCAGAGCGGUUCUGGACUCCAAUCUGGCCAGAGCCUGCCUGCCUCCCACAGUCGUGUUUUCAAGUAAUGGCUUCAAUAAUCCAAAGUCUUCAAACCUUCCCGACAAAGUCGGUGUGCACCUACCUCAGCCUAGUAGGUCACGUGGCCUCCUGCACCUUCGUGACCAAGUAUGCCAGGCUACGCCCCCGUCCCUUCCAAACCUGGCUUGCUUCAAUAUACCAACCACACAGACACAGCCUGGACUCAGUGCUCACUAUCCCCAGGAAGGUUCUGGGCUCCCUAACCUAAUGGCUAGACCCCACUCUAGCCUGUGCAGGGAUGCCAUUCCACCCACCGCAACCCUCAAUGGUCCUGACAAUGGACGCAUCAUCUCUGGGUUGGGGUGCUCACCUCGGAGGCUUUCGCACUCAAGGCCUCUGGUUGUCCCAAGAACUGGCCUUAAACAUCAAUGUGCGGGAGCUGAGAUCAGUCCGUCUAGCAUGCCAGGUGUUUCGAGACCAUCUCCAAGGCCAUUGUGUGUCAGUAUUCACGGACAACACAACGGCCAUGUUUUACAUAAACAAGCAGGGCGGAGCAUGCUCCUCCCUCCUUUGUCAAGAAGCCGUCCACCUCUGGAACUUUUGCAUAGCCCACUCGAUCGAAUUGGUAGCGUCUUUUCUCCCAGGAGUCCAGAACACUCUGGCGGAUCACCUCAGCAGAUCCUUCCUGUCUCACAGUUGGUCGAUUUGUCCGGACGUCAUCCCUUCUGUUUUCCGGAAGUGGGGGUUUCCCCACAUAGACUUCUUUGCCUCCCAAGAGAACUGGAAAUGCCAGGUGUUCUGCUUCUUCCAGGGACGCUCCCCAGGCUCCCACUCAGACGCAUUCCUGAUCCCGUGGAGAAGGCACCUACUUUAUGCCUUCCAACCCCCCGUAUACGGUAUACCAUAAGGACAAGGUACAGCUGCGACCACACUCCUCUUUCCUCCCUAAGGUGGUGUCCGCCUUUCAUGUCAAUCAAGGCAUGUUCCUCCCAGUCUUCUUCCCGAAGCCGCACCCAUCACAUUGGGAACAAAAGCUACACACCCUGGAUGUCCACAGGGCUCUCACCUUUUAUAUCAGGAGAACCAAACCCUUCCGAAGGUCACCUCAGCUCUUUGUAGCUGUUGCAGACCAGAUGAAAGGCCUACUGGUCUCUUCCCAAUGAAUUUCAUCUUGGGUGACAUCCUGCAUCCGCACAUGCUAUGAAUUGGUUCACGUUCCGGCUAGCCACCUCAUUGCCCAUUCUACUCGGGCGCAAGCUUCAUCUGCUGCCUUCCUGGCCCAUGUUCCCAUCCAGGAAAUAUGUCGGGCAGCUACCUGGUCAUCAUCGAUUCACACCUUUGCCUCACAUUACACAUUAGUUCAACAGUCCAG
Molecule: long non-coding RNA, 1718 nt
Filed under: Gopherus agassizii (Agassiz's desert tortoise)
Lineage: Eukaryota; Metazoa; Chordata; Testudines; Testudinidae
Description: lncRNA (ENSGAGG00000004602.1)
Source: RNAcentral